Molecule: small nuclear RNA, 118 nt
Organism: Dipodomys ordii (Ord's kangaroo rat)
Lineage: Eukaryota; Metazoa; Chordata; Mammalia; Rodentia; Heteromyidae
Source: Ensembl
AUGUUGUGUGAAUGGAGAUAACAUUAGUACUCCUUUGGACAAGGAUGGAAUAUGCUAGUGGGCCUGACAACAUGAAUAUAGUUAAGGCAUGGCAAGAAAGUCCCUGAGAUUCUUAUCU